RNAcentral lists this small nuclear RNA (179 nucleotides) under Suricata suricatta (meerkat). RNAcentral's name for it is "U2 spliceosomal RNA (ENSSSUG00005018980.1)". It matches the Rfam family "U2 spliceosomal RNA". Rfam says of the family: U2 is a small nuclear RNA (snRNA) component of the spliceosome (involved in pre-mRNA splicing). Complementary binding between U2 snRNA (in an area lying towards the 5' end but 3' to hairpin I) and the branchpoint sequence (BPS) of the intron results the bulging out of an unpaired adenosine, on the BPS, which initiates a nucleophilic attack at the intronic 5' splice site, thus starting the first of two transesterification reactions that mediate splicing. Lineage: Eukaryota; Metazoa; Chordata; Mammalia; Carnivora; Herpestidae. The record is from Rfam by way of RNAcentral.
AUCACUUCUCAGCCUUUUGGCUAAGAUCAAGUGAAGUAAUUUUAUUUUAUUAUUAUUUUUUUAAUUUUUUAAAAUGUUUUAUUUAUUUUUGAUACAGAGAGUGACAGAGCAUGAGACGGGGAGGGACAGAGAGAGAAGGAGACACAGAACCAGACGCAGGCUCCAGGCUCUGAGCUGUU